Molecule: ribosomal RNA, 253 nt
Filed under: uncultured bacterium
Lineage: Bacteria
Description: partial 16S ribosomal RNA
Rfam family: Bacterial small subunit ribosomal RNA
Source: RNAcentral
UACGAACCGUACGAACGUUAUUCGGAAUCACUGGGCUUAAAGAGUGCGUAGGCGGUCAGGAAAGUUGGGUGUGAAAGCCCUCGGCCCAACCGAGGAAUUGCGCCCAAAACUACUUGACUUGAGGGAGACAGAGGUAAGCGGAACUAAUGGUGGAGCGGUGAAAUGCGUUGAUAUCAUUAGGAACACCUGAGGCGAAAGCAGCUUACUGGGUCUCUUCUGACGCUGAGGCACGAAAGCUAGGGGAGCGAACGGG